RNAcentral lists this long non-coding RNA (483 nucleotides) under Mytilus galloprovincialis (Mediterranean mussel). Lineage: Eukaryota; Metazoa; Mollusca; Bivalvia; Mytilida; Mytilidae. The record is from RNAcentral.
AAACAAGAAUGUGUCCAUAGUACACGGAUGCCCCACUCCCACUAUCAUUUUCUAUGUUCAGUGGACCGUGAAAUUGGAGUAAAAACUUUAAUUUGGAAUUGAAAUUAGAAAGAUCAUAUCAUAGGGAACAUGUGUACUAAGUUUCAAGUUGAUGUAACUUUAACUUCAUCAAAAACUACCUUGACCAAAAACUUUAACCUGAACUUUGCACUAUCAUUUUCUAUGUUCAGUGGACCAUGAAAUUGGGGUAAAAACUAUAAUUUGGCAUUAAAAUUAGAGAGAUCAUAUCAUGGGGAACAUGUGUAUUAAGUUUCAAGUUGAUUGGACUUCAGCUUCAUCAAAAACUACCUCGACCAAAAACUUUAACCGGACGGACGAACGGAGGCACAGACGGACGGACGGACGGACGGACGGACGGACGGACGGAGGCACAGACCAGAAAACAUAAUGCCCCUCUACUAUCGUAGGUGGGGCAUAAAAAAU